AUACGGAGGGUGCAAGCGUUAUCCGGAAUCAUUGGGUUUAAAGGGUCCGUAGGCGGACUAAUAAGUCAGGGGUGAAAUCCCACAGCUUAACUGUGGAACUGCCUUUGAUACUGUUAGUCUUGAGUUAUAUGGAAGUAGAUAGAAUGUGUAGUGUAGCGGUGAAAUGCUUAGAGAUUACACAGAAUACCGAUUGCGAAGGCAGUCUACUACAUAUAUACUGACGCUAAUGGACGAAAGCGUGGGGAGCGAACAGGAUUAGAAACCCUUGUAGUCC
RNAcentral lists this ribosomal RNA (274 nucleotides) under uncultured bacterium. Its description in RNAcentral is "partial 16S ribosomal RNA". It matches the Rfam family "Bacterial small subunit ribosomal RNA", at positions 523 to 796 of the family's 1533-position model. The record is from RNAcentral.